This 447-nucleotide ribosomal RNA is filed under the name uncultured bacterium. RNAcentral describes it as "bacterial SSU rRNA". It matches the Rfam family "Bacterial small subunit ribosomal RNA", at positions 355 to 825 of the family's 1533-position model. The record is from RNAcentral.
UCGGGAAUUUUGGGCAAUGGGCGAAAGCCUGACCCAGCAACGCCGCGUGAAGGAUGAAGUAUUUCGGUAUGUAAACUUCGUAAGAAUAGGAAGAAUAAAUGACGGUACUAUUUGUAAGGUCCGGCUAACUACGUGCCAGCAGCCGCGGUAAUACGUAGGGACCAAGCGUUGUUCGGAUUUACUGGGCGUAAAGGGCGCGUAGGCGGUGUGUCAAGUCAGUUGUGAAAUCUCCGAGCUUAACUCGGAACGGUCAACUGAUACUGUCACACUAGAGUACAGAAGGGGCAAUCGGAAUUCUUGGUGUAGCGGUGAAAUGCGUAGAUAUCAAGAGGAACACCUGAGGCGAAGGCGGGUUGCUGGGCUGAUACUGACGCUGAGGCGCGAAAGCUAGGGUAGCAAACAGGAUUAGAUACCCUCGUAGUCCCUGAGCGGGCUGGCAAGGCGCAU